AUGGCUCACGGAUGAACGCUAGCGGCAGGCUUAACACAUGCAAGUCGAGGGGCAUCGGGAGUAGCAAUACUUGCCGGCGACCGGCGCAAGGGUGCGUAACGCGUGAGCAACAUGCCCGUAUCAGGGGGAUAAUCCAUGGAAACGUGGUCUAAUACCCCAUAGUAAUUAUGUAAGGCAUCUUAUAUAAUUUAAAGCUUUGGUGGAUACGGAUUGGCUCGCGUGACAUUAGGCUGGAUGGUAAGGUAACGGCUUACCAUGGCUACGAUGUCUAGGGGUUCUGAGAGGAAGGUCCCCCACACUGGAACUGAGACACGGUCCAGACUCCUACGGGAGGCAGCAGUGAGGAAUAUUGGACAAUGGAUGGAAAUCUGAUCCAGCCAUGCCGCGUGCAGGAAGACGGCCCUAUGGGUUGUAAACUGUCUUUUGUAUGGGAGCAAUAAGGGCUACGUGUAGUCCGAUGAGAGUACCAUACGAAUAAGCACCGGCUAACUCCGUGCCAGCAGCGGC
RNAcentral lists this ribosomal RNA (507 nucleotides) under uncultured bacterium. RNAcentral describes it as "bacterial SSU rRNA". It matches the Rfam family "Bacterial small subunit ribosomal RNA", at positions 19 to 518 of the family's 1533-position model. The record is from RNAcentral.